CCUACGGGUGGCAGCAGUGGGGAAUAUUGCACAAUGGGCGCAAGCCUGAUGCAGCCAUGCCGCGUGUGUGAAGAAGGCCUUCGGGUUGUAAAGCACUUUCAGCGGGGAGGAAGGCGGUGAGGUUAAUAACCUCAUCGAUUGACGUUACCCGCAGAAGAAGCACCGGCUAACUCCGUGCCAGCAGCCGCGGUAAUACGGAGGGUGCAAGCGUUAAUCGGAAUUACUGGGCGUAAAGCGCACGCAGGCGGUCUGUCAAGUCGGAUGUGAAAUCCCCGGGCUCAACCUGGGAACUGCAUUCGAAACUGGCAGGCUAGAGUCUUGUAGUGGGGGGUAGAAUUCCAGGUGUAGCGGUGAAAUGCGUAGAGAUCUGGAGGAAUACCGGUGGCGAAGGCGGCCCCCUGGACAAAGACUGACGCUCAGGUGCGAAAGCGUGGGGAGCAAACAGGAUUAGAUACCCCAGUAGUC
RNAcentral lists this ribosomal RNA (465 nucleotides) under uncultured Klebsiella sp. RNAcentral's name for it is "bacterial SSU rRNA". It matches the Rfam family "Bacterial small subunit ribosomal RNA", at positions 338 to 795 of the family's 1533-position model. Lineage: Bacteria; Pseudomonadati; Pseudomonadota; Gammaproteobacteria; Enterobacterales; Enterobacteriaceae. The record is from RNAcentral.